AGAGUUUGAUCAUGGCUCAGGACGAACGCUGGCGGCGUGCUUAACACAUGCAAGUCGAACGAGGCGUCUUCGGAUGUCUAGUGGCGAACGGGUGAGUAACACGUGAGCAACCUGCCCCUGGCUCUGGGAUAGCCUCCGGAAACGGGGGCUAAUACCGGAUAGGACCUGGCCCUGCAUGGGGUUGGGUGGAAAGUUUUUCGGCCAGGGGUGGGCUCGCGGCCUAUCAGCUUGUUGGUGGGGUGAUGGCCUACCAAGGCGACGACGGGUAGCCGGCCUGAGAGGGCGACCGGCCACACUGGGACUGAGACACGGCCCAGACUCCUACGGGAGGCAGCAGUGGGGAAUAUUGCACAAUGGGCGGAAGCCUGAUGCAGCGACGCCGCGUGAGGGAUGACGGCCUUCGGGUUGUAAACCUCUUUCAGCAGGGACGAAGCGCAAGUGACGGUACCUGCAGAAGAAGCGCCGGCCAACUACGUGCCAGCAGCCGCGGUAAUAC
RNAcentral lists this ribosomal RNA (496 nucleotides) under uncultured bacterium. RNAcentral's name for it is "bacterial SSU rRNA". It matches the Rfam family "Bacterial small subunit ribosomal RNA", at positions 8 to 526 of the family's 1533-position model. The record is from RNAcentral.